Molecule: non-coding RNA, 74 nt
Organism: Molorchus minor
Lineage: Eukaryota; Metazoa; Arthropoda; Insecta; Coleoptera; Cerambycidae
Source: the annotation of a GenBank genome assembly
GUUUGCUAGCUCAGUGUUUAGAGCAACAGGCCGCAAAUCUGUGGGCGUGGGUUUGAUUUCUACCCGGAGCUACA